This 444-nucleotide ribosomal RNA is filed under the name uncultured bacterium. Its description in RNAcentral is "partial 16S ribosomal RNA". It matches the Rfam family "Bacterial small subunit ribosomal RNA", at positions 338 to 795 of the family's 1533-position model. The record is from RNAcentral.
CCUACGGGUGGCAGCAGUGGGGAAUAUUGGGCAAUGGGCGCAAGCCUGAACCAGCAACGCCGCGUGAAGGAAGAAGGCUUUCGGGUUGUAAACUUCUUUUCUCAGGGACGAAGCAAGUGACGGUACCUGAAGCAUAAGCCACGGCUAACUACGUGCCAGCAGCCGCGGUAAUACGGGGGAGGCAAGAGUUAUCCGGAGUUAUUGGGUUUAAAGGGUGCGUAGGCUGUGAGGUAAGUCAGAUGGGAAAUGCCCCCGCUCAACGGGGUGAAGUUCCAGUGAUACUGCCUUGCGGGAGUGCGGGUGCCGUGGGAGGAAUGUGUGGUGUAGCGGUGAAAUGCAUAGAUAUCACACAGAACACCGAUUGCGAAGGCAUCUCACGAAUCCGCGAUUGACGCUGAUGCACGAAAGCGUGGGUAUCAAACAGGAUUAGAUACCCCAGUAGUC